RNAcentral lists this ribosomal RNA (52 nucleotides) under Aspergillus oryzae. RNAcentral describes it as "partial 28S ribosomal RNA". RNAcentral also lists the same sequence under 7 other names. The record is from RNAcentral. Lineage: Eukaryota; Fungi; Ascomycota; Eurotiomycetes; Eurotiales; Aspergillaceae.
UGACCUCGGAUCAGGUAGGGAUACCCGCUGAACUUAAGCAUAUCAAUAAGCG